AGCAGUAGCCGCGGGAAUACGUAGGUGGCAAGCGUUGUCCGGAAUUAUUGGGCGUAAAGGGCUCGCAGGCGGUUUCUUAAGUCUGAUGUGAAAGCCCCCGGCUCAACCGGGGAGGGUCAUUGGAAACUGGGAAACUUGAGUGCAGAAGAGGAGAGUGGAAUUCCACGUGUAGCGGUGAAAUGCGUAGAGAUGUGGAGGAACACCAGUGGCGAAGGCGACUCUCUGGUCUGUAACUGACGCUGAGGAGCGAAAGCGUGGGGAGCGAACAGGAUUAGAGACCCGUGUAGUCCCUGUCUCUUAUAA
RNAcentral lists this ribosomal RNA (303 nucleotides) under uncultured bacterium. Its description in RNAcentral is "partial 16S ribosomal RNA". It matches the Rfam family "Bacterial small subunit ribosomal RNA", at positions 507 to 809 of the family's 1533-position model. The record is from RNAcentral.